GCUGCUGGGAGAUUGAUCGCACUGUCAAUUUUUCAUGGAGGUCCUGCACCACAUUGUUUCUCUCCCCUCUUGGUCCAUGCCUUGCAGUUUGGACCUAAAGAAACCAAGGUUAAAUGGUCAGACCUUCCGGAUGGGGAACUAAAAGAAGACUUGAAGGAGCUACUAAAGGCACGGACAGAAACAGCUAGGAGUCGGGCCUUGGGAAAAUUGGAACAUUUCUUUACCUAUGCUGGAAUCCCAUUUUACAAUUGUUCCACCCAGGAAUCUGUGGAACAGCUUGUUAAAACAGCCUCACAUUCAUACAUGUUUGAUCGGACUAGCGAGGCAUUUAGACACUCGAUGAGCCAGGAUCAAAUUCCCGGGUGAACCAAGCCCAGUGCAUUGCUUUUUGGAGGGAUUAUUUGGAGGAGGUAGAAGAAGAAACUGUGGCGCUAAAGUUCAGUCAGAUUCUCCAGUUUUGUACUGGAGCAAAAGAGGUGCCACCAUUGGGAUUCAGUCCACAACCAACAAUUGCUUUUUGGGACGAAAAGUACCCGAAAGCCAAUACAUGUGCAAAUACACUGGUUUUACCCACUACAUCCAAGAGGUAUAAGGAAUUUGUGGGGAACAUUGAAUUUGGCAUUUUGAACGCUCAGGGUUUCCUCAUUGAGUGAAAGAUGUAUAUAGGUAUACAGCAUUUUUAGCCCACCAUCAACAGAUGGUGGGCUAUUCAAAUCACUCUGCGUCAAUGGUCCGUCCUUCUUCUGUCCGUAAACAGUUCUUGUUACCGCUACUUCUCGGAAC
Long non-coding RNA from Pecten maximus, 783 nucleotides. RefSeq lists it as uncharacterized. The transcript has 4 exons. NCBI's taxonomy places the organism in Eukaryota, Metazoa, Mollusca, Bivalvia, Pectinida, Pectinidae. The record is from RefSeq and is a predicted model, not a curated record.